RNAcentral lists this ribosomal RNA (633 nucleotides) under uncultured bacterium. RNAcentral's name for it is "bacterial SSU rRNA". It matches the Rfam family "Bacterial small subunit ribosomal RNA", at positions 209 to 859 of the family's 1533-position model. The record is from RNAcentral.
ACUCCGGUGGUGUGAGAUGGGCCCGCGUCUGAUUAGUUAGUUGGCGGGGUAACGGCCCACCAAGGCGACGAUCAGUAGCCGACCUGAGAGGGUGACCGGCCACAUUGGGACUGAGACACGGCCCAAACUCCUACGGGAGGCAGCAGUGGGGAAUAUUGCACAAUGGGGGAAACCCUGAUGCAGCGACGCCGCGUGAGCGAAGAAGUAUUUCGGUAUGUAAAGCUCUAUCAGCAGGGAAGAAACUGACGGUACCUGACUAAGAAGCACCGGCUAAAUACGUGCCAGCAGCCGCGGUAAUACGUAUGGUGCAAGCGUUAUCCGGAUUUACUGGGUGUAAAGGGAGCGUAGACGGAGCAGCAAGUCUGGAGUGAAAACCCGGGGCUCAACCCCGGGACUGCUUUGGAAACUGUUGUUCUAGAGUGCUGGAGAGGUAAGUGGAAUUCCUAGUGUAGCGGUGAAAUGCGUAGAUAUUAGGAGGAACACCAGUGGCGAAGGCGGCUUACUGGACAGUAACUGACGUUGAGGCUCGAAAGCGUGGGGAGCAAACAGGAUUAGAUACCCUGGUAGUCCACGCCGUAAACGAUGACUGCUAGGUGUCGGGUGGCAAAGCCAUUCGGUGCCGCAGCUAACGCA